UAGGGAAUCUUCCGCAAUGGACGCAAGUCUGACGGAGCAACGCCGCGUGAGUGAAGAAGGAUUUCGGUUCGUAAAACUCUGUUGUUAGAGAAGAACAGCGCAUAGAGUAACUGUUAUGCGUGUGACGGUAUCUAACCAGAAAGCCACGGCUAACUACGUGCCAGCAGCCGCGGUAAUACGUAGGUGGCAAGCGUUGUCCGGAAUUAUUGGGCGUAAAGCGCGCGCAGGCGGCUACUUAAGUCCAUCUUAAAAGUGCGGGGCUUAACCCCGUGAUGGGAUGGAAACUGAGAAGCUGGAGUGUCGGAGAGGAAAGUGGAAUUCCUAGUGUAGCGGUGAAAUGCGUAGAGAUUAGGAAGAACACCGGUGGCGAAGGCGACUUUCUGGACGACAACUGACGCUUAGGCGCGAAAGCGUGGGGAGCAAACAGG
RNAcentral lists this ribosomal RNA (428 nucleotides) under Bacteroidota bacterium. RNAcentral's name for it is "Bacteroidetes bacterium partial 16S ribosomal RNA". It matches the Rfam family "Bacterial small subunit ribosomal RNA", at positions 355 to 776 of the family's 1533-position model. The record is from RNAcentral. Lineage: Bacteria; Pseudomonadati; Bacteroidota.